This 253-nucleotide ribosomal RNA is filed under the name uncultured bacterium. RNAcentral's name for it is "partial 16S ribosomal RNA". It matches the Rfam family "Bacterial small subunit ribosomal RNA", at positions 524 to 776 of the family's 1533-position model. The record is from RNAcentral.
UACAGAGGUCUCAAGCGUUGUUCGGAUUCAUUGGGCGUAAAGGGUGCGUAGGUGGCGCUGUAAGUCGGGUGUGAAAUCUCGGAGCUUAACUCCGAAACUGCAUUCGAUACUGCCGUGCUUGAGGACUGGAGAGGAGACUGGAAUUUACGGUGUAGCGGUGAAAUGCGUAGAUAUCGUAAGGAAGACCAGUGGCGAAGGCGGGUCUCUGGACAGCUCCUGACGCUGAGGCACGAAGGCCAGGGGAGCAAACGGG